GGAUGUGAGGGCGAUCUGGCUGCGACACUUGUCACUCCAUUGAUCUCCAGGGUUGCUUCAGUUGAUCUGGCUGACUAGAUGCAUAUCCUCUUCCUACCUCACUGCUCCAUGUGUGUCCCUUCCAAAGUUGUGCCCUUGGUGGAAGAGGAUGACCAUCCCUGCUAGAGGAGGACCAUUCUAUGGUCAAGGGUUUAUGAAUAACUGUACUCCCCUGCUAGAACAUACAAACAAGCUCUCAAAGCACAAAGACUCAUGAGGAUGUUGUUCUGUGCACACAUCUUUAAUCUUUAAUGGUUUACCUUUUCCAUUUAUAAAGAACUGA
Molecule: small nuclear RNA, 322 nt
Filed under: Carlito syrichta (Philippine tarsier)
Lineage: Eukaryota; Metazoa; Chordata; Mammalia; Primates; Tarsiidae
Description: 7SK RNA (ENSTSYG00000034959.1)
Rfam family: 7SK RNA
About the family: 7SK was discovered as an abundant small nuclear RNA in the mid-70s but a possible function has only recently been suggested. Two independent studies have found that 7SK RNA binds the CDK9/cyclin T complex (known as elongation factor P-TEFb).
Source: Rfam by way of RNAcentral